AUUGCCUUCCCAUCAUCCAUGAGACGGGUGACCUUAUGUUAGGGAACCAGUGAGUGGGAGCCAGGGUGCGCUUGAGUUUCGGGAAUGCCGCAUCUCCUCGUCUCCUCAUUUCCCAGGCAGACCCUGCCACGAGGGCGUGGCCGAAGCGGCCCGAGGAUCCGGGCAUUCUUAGGAGAAUGCUGGGCAAGGGCCACAGGAAAUUCUGACUAGUGCUGAACCAAGCAAGUGCCCUGAAACCAUCGGAGCAGCUGCAGGGGCUGAAGGGAACAGGAAGGGCUCUCCGGCACCUUUUGCCUCCGUUCUCUGCCAUUCUCCGUCGCAGUCCCGGAAGAGGCGUCUGUCAUGCAGCCUGCCAAAAUGAAGACCUGUAAAAUCCUAGCUCUGCCUUUUGUUUAAGGUGUUUUUACUUCAUAUUUAUGUCAUCACAGAAAGCAAGGAAAGAAGAAAUGUGACUGGUUCCCACUAUUGCUCCGUGCAGGCAC
This 482-nucleotide long non-coding RNA is filed under the name Taeniopygia guttata (zebra finch). Its description in RNAcentral is "lncRNA (ENSTGUG00000027104.1)". The record is from RNAcentral. Lineage: Eukaryota; Metazoa; Chordata; Aves; Passeriformes; Estrildidae.